Molecule: ribosomal RNA, 484 nt
Filed under: uncultured bacterium
Lineage: Bacteria
Description: partial 16S ribosomal RNA
Rfam family: Bacterial small subunit ribosomal RNA
Source: RNAcentral
AUUGAACGCUGGCGGCAGGCCUAACACAUGCAAGUCGAGCGGAUGAAGGGAGCUUGCUCCUGGAUUCAGCGGCGGACGGGUGAGUAAUGCCUAGGAAUCUGCCUGGUAGUGGGGGAUAACGUCGGGAAACGGGCGCUAAUACCGCAUACGUCCUGAGGGAGAAAGUGGGGGAUCUUCGGACCUCACGCUAUCAGAUGAGCCUAGGUCGGAUUAGCUAGUUGGUGGGGUAAAGGCCUACCAAGGCGACGAUCCGUAACUGGUCUGAGAGGAUGAUCAGUCACACUGGAACUGAGACACGGUCCAGACUCCUACGGGAGGCAGCAGUGGGGAAUAUUGGACAAUGGGCGAAAGCCUGAUCCAGCAAUGCCGCGUGUGUGAAGAAGGUCUUCGGAUUGUAAAGCACUUUAAGUUGGGAGGAAGGGCAGUAAGUUAAUACCUUGCUGUUUUGACGUUACCAACAGAAUAAGCACCGGCUAACUUCGUG